UACGUAGGGGGCAAGCGUUGUCCGGAAUCAUUGGGCGUAAAGCGCGUGUAGGCGGCCCGAUAAGUCCGCUGUGAAAGUCAAAGGCUCAACCUUUGAAAGCCGGUGGAUACUGUGGGACUAGAGUACGGAAGAGGCGAGUGGAAUUCCUGGUGUAGCGGUGGAAUGCGCAGAUAUCAGGAGGAACACCAAUAGCGAAGGCAGCUCGCUGGGACGUUACUGACACUGAGGCGCGAAAGCGUGGGGAGCGAACAGG
Molecule: ribosomal RNA, 253 nt
Filed under: uncultured bacterium
Lineage: Bacteria
Description: partial 16S ribosomal RNA
Rfam family: Bacterial small subunit ribosomal RNA
Source: RNAcentral